GACGAACGCUGGCGGCGUGCUUAACACAUGCAAGUCGAACGGUGAAGCGCCUUCCUUUUUGGUGGGUGUGGAUGAGUGGCGAACGGGUGAGUAACACGUGAGUAACCUGCCCCCUUCUUCUGGAUAACCGCAUGAAAGUGUGGCUAAUACGGGAUAUUCUGGGUCUGUCGCAUGAUGGGUCUGGGAAAGAUAUUGUUUCGGUGGGGGGUGGGCUCGCGGCCUAUCAGCUUGUUGGUGGGGUGAUGGCCUACCAAGGCGGUGACGGGUAGCCGGCCUGAGAGGGUGGACGGUCACACUGGGACUGAGACACGGCCCAGACUCCUACGGGAGGCAGCAGGGGGGAAUAUUGCACAAUGGGCGCAAGCCUGAUGCAGCGACGCCGCGUGAGGGAUGGAGGCCUUCGGGUUGUGAACCUCUUUCGCCAGUGAAGCAGGCCUGCCUCGUUUGUGGGUGGGUUGACGGUAGCUGGAUAAGAAGCGCCGGCUAACUACGUG
RNAcentral lists this ribosomal RNA (494 nucleotides) under uncultured bacterium. Its description in RNAcentral is "partial 16S ribosomal RNA". It matches the Rfam family "Bacterial small subunit ribosomal RNA", at positions 28 to 507 of the family's 1533-position model. The record is from RNAcentral.